ACGGCUCAUUACAAUGGCCAUUAUUUACUUGAUCUUGAUUGUCUAAAUGGAUAACUGUGAAAAGCUAGAGCUAAUACAUGCACUAAAGCUUUGUCCUUWCGGAAAAGCGCAUUUAUUAGAACAAAACCACGCGGCUUCGGCUGCUUCUUGUUGACUCAGAAUAACUAAGCUGACCGCAUGGCCUUGUGCCGGCGGCGUGUCUUUCAAGCGUCCACUUUAUCAACUUGACGGGAGCAUAAUCGACUCCCGUGGUGGUGACGGAUAACGGAGGAUCAGGGUUCGACUCCGGAGAAGGGGCCUGAGAAAUGGCCACUACGUCUAAGGAUGGCAGCAGGCGCGCAAAUUMCCCACUCUCGGCUCGAGGAGGUAGYGACGAGAAAUAACGAGACUGUUCUCUUUGAGGCCGGUCAUCGGAAUGGGUACAAUUUAAACCCUUUAACGAGUAUCAAGCAGAGGGCAAGUCUGGUGCCAGCAGCCGCGGUAAUUCCAGCUCUGCAAAUACAUAGAAUUAUUGCUGCGGUUARAAAGCUCRUAGUUGGAUUCGUAUCGAUACCUUGGAACCCUUCGGGUGUCUCUAGGUGUUAUCGAUUUAUCGUAAUGUUCGGUUUUGAGUCCUUAACAGGAUUCUUAACAGGCAUUGCAAGUUUACUUUGAACAAAUCAGAGUGCUUCAAACAGGCGUUUUCGCUUGAAUGAUCGUGCAUGGAAUAAUAGAAAAUGAUUUCGGUUCAGUUUUAUUGGUUUUACGGACUGAGAUAAUGGUUAACAGAGACAAACGGGGGCAUUUGUAUGGUCCCGUGAGAGGUGAAAUUCUUGGACCGUGGCCAGACAAACUACAGCGAAAGCAUUUGCCAAGAAUGUUUUUAUUAAUCAAGAACGAAAGUCAKAGGUUCGAAGGCGAUCAGAUACCGCCCUAGUUCUGACCGUAAACGAUGCCRACUAGCGAUCCGCCGAUGGAAAUUAUAUUGCCUUGGUGGGGAGCUUCCCGGAAACGAAAGUCUUCCGGUUCCGGGGGAAGUAUGGUUGCAAAGCUGAAACUUAAAGGAAUUGACGGAAGGGCACCACCAGGAGUGGAGCCUGCGGCUUAAUUUGACUCAACACGGGGAAACUCACCCGGCCCGGACACUGUGAGGAUUGACAGAUUGAUAGCUUUUUCAUGAUUCAGUGGAUGGUGGUGCAUGGCCGUUCUUA
This 1190-nucleotide ribosomal RNA is filed under the name Nematoda environmental sample. RNAcentral's name for it is "SSU rRNA". It matches the Rfam family "Eukaryotic small subunit ribosomal RNA", at positions 93 to 1307 of the family's 1831-position model. Lineage: Eukaryota; Metazoa; Nematoda. The record is from RNAcentral.